ACCGCUUCUCGGCCUUUGGCUAAGAUCAAGUGUAGUAUCAAACAUAAUAUGAAUGUACAGUAAGAAGCAAUUAUAGUUUUGGCACUGGAAUGAAUAACUUCUCACCUAUAUUCAAUCAAAAGAGUACUCGCUAUAGAGUGAUAUUCUGCAGCUUU
Molecule: small nuclear RNA, 155 nt
Organism: Heterocephalus glaber (naked mole-rat)
Lineage: Eukaryota; Metazoa; Chordata; Mammalia; Rodentia; Bathyergidae
Gene: U2
Rfam family: U2 spliceosomal RNA
About the family: U2 is a small nuclear RNA (snRNA) component of the spliceosome (involved in pre-mRNA splicing). Complementary binding between U2 snRNA (in an area lying towards the 5' end but 3' to hairpin I) and the branchpoint sequence (BPS) of the intron results the bulging out of an unpaired adenosine, on the BPS, which initiates a nucleophilic attack at the intronic 5' splice site, thus starting the first of two transesterification reactions that mediate splicing.
Source: Ensembl